UAUAAAAUUCAUAUAUAGUAAUAAACGUAACCAGGAAAAUGUUACUAAAACUAAUAAAUCUUGAUCUUUCUUCAUCUUCGUUCUCAUGUUUCAAAUAUUUAUUAUAUGUUUCACCUUACAUUAGUUUUGUGGUCUUCUUUGGUCAAUGAACCUUCACAUUUCCUUAAAGAAAACUUUUCUUUAACAAUUAUAUUUUGUUAACUUUUUUACAAUGCCACGUGACAUUGUUUUAUUGGUUGGUUUUAAAAGAUUUUUUUAAAAAGGUGGAAUUUGUUUAGAAGGGAAAUUUUGGAAAGAAUUUGGAUAGAAACUUCUUUUGGCGGUUUCUUUUUCUUUUCAGAUUCAUUCUUUUGCGUAACUUGGUUUUCUCAACUCUCUCUCCACCAUUGAAGCUUCUAUCUCUCUCCACCAUUGAAGCAUUUAUCUCUCUCCAUCGUUUUGAUCUUCUUCGGUCCUUGCUUUUCUUCACUCUCUGUCCACCAUUGAAAUGUUGUUUCUCUCUCCCCUUUGAGUUUGAGUUCGACUCUUCUUACUUCGUUUUUUGGGUCAUUUGGUCACUGUCGAGGAUUUCGUCUCUCUCUUUACCCAUUUCCCCUUUUUUGAUGGUGUGACCGUGGGCUCGUUGGCGGUAUAUAUCCCCCGUUCUAGAAUUAUGUUGAUUUUGGCAUGCAUUGUUGUUGCCGACAUUUCCGUGGUUGUGUAAGUCUUUGGCUUUUGUCUCCCAUUGUGGUUGAUGGUAUUUCUCCCAAGAUUUGGGCUUUUUCACACACACCAUUGAUUCAUUACCAAACUUCACACUACAAGUUGUGGAAACCAUCAACCAUGACCAACAAGGGUCCUUCAUUCAUAAAAUCUUAAAAACACACUAAUAACAAACAAAAAAAUAAUCAUGGGGAGCGUAGUUGCCAUACCUGGGUAGCACAGAUCAACUUUUAUAGUAAAAAAAUGCAAAUUUAACCUAGUAAUCGAUUACAACCUUUUUGUAAGUGAUUACAAGUGCAUGUCUCCAGUAUGUAUGGUGCAGGACCUGACCUACGUUGCUAAGACAACCUAGGAUGGGUGUUGACUCACUGGCAAGUGUACCAGAUCGUGCAAGUAAUAUAAUCGGUAAUACCCGAUAUCGUUCUUCCCAAGAGACUCGAAAGGCCUUAUCGUUCGUGUGAAUUGAAAUCGUAAGACUUGUAGAAAAAGAUUAAUUGUUGUGAAUGCAAAGACAGAAAAUAAACAUGCAAUGUACUUGAUUCAAUUGACGAAAAAGACUAUGGAUGAAUGGAGUUGUUGGGGGUUUACAAUUUCAUCUUAUCCGCUCCCUCUUAUCUACUCCUCUUGUUUAAUGUGCUUGAUAAUCUAAUUGUUAUGCAAACUUUCUUGGCCUACCCUUAACCCAAUCCCUCGGCGAAAAUAGCCUAUUACUAAUUAUCGGCUUGUUAUCCCUAGCCUCCCCUAGUAAUUAAUAAUGCAUUAAGAACAGAAGCAAAAACAAUUGAUCGUCCGACCCCCU
RNAcentral lists this long non-coding RNA (1501 nucleotides) under Vigna radiata. RNAcentral describes it as "long non-coding RNA (VRAD_LNC006288)". The record is from RNAcentral. Lineage: Eukaryota; Viridiplantae; Streptophyta; Magnoliopsida; Fabales; Fabaceae.